RNAcentral lists this long non-coding RNA (1945 nucleotides) under Gallus gallus (chicken). Its description in RNAcentral is "lncRNA (ENSGALG00010014723.1)". The record is from RNAcentral. Lineage: Eukaryota; Metazoa; Chordata; Aves; Galliformes; Phasianidae.
UAUACAGUUCUGUCUUGUACUCAGAUGCCCAUACCAAAGCAAUUACUGUAUGGGAGAUGCCGACUGGCUGGAAGAACCUGCUCAUUCUGGAUCUGUAAUGGAGUCUGCGAGGAGCUCAGCUUCUUGGUGUGGAAGAAGGCAGUGGUCUGAUCUUUAGCAUCCUCCUGUCCUGGUAGAUUAUGUCAUGAACAGCUCUCCUUGGGGUCGUUUGUGAAGAGAUAUCUUGGAGGAUAGUAUCAUCACCGGUUGGGGACUAGCGUGGCUGCCUAAAUUGUCCAUCCUAGUGUUUGUCAAGAAAGGAUGGAGGACCAGGGAAAUGUGGUCAAAUGGGGGUGAGAACUGAGGAGGCGGCCAAAUGCACCCCAAAAGCAAAAGAGGGUGAGGGAAGAUGACACUUCUCCAGAUGCCUCCAGGAGCCAAACCACAGCAGCUCCUUCCUAGUUGCCACCAACCUCAUGGAUGUCCAACCUUACAUGUGGAUGGAGCAAUGGAUGAGGUGCUGGAUGCUCAGCGCUUUUCCCUUUCCUAUGGCUGAAUGUCGGCUGAUGCUGUUUGCUAAACAAGAGUGCCGGUGGCAGAGGAAUUAGAAGAAAUCCCUUCUUAAUUGGAAACAGUGAGUUUGUGUAUUUUUUCAGUUGUCUAUUUUGGGCCUUGUAAAAUUAAAGUUAUUAACUGUAAUGCAGCGGUUUCCAGAUUCCCACAGCCCUUUACAAUAGUGGGGAAAUUCAUCCCAGGUCACUGGGAGCCUUUAAUGAAUACAUUAAGACUUAUUAUUAAAAUAAAGUGCUUGCAGCUUUAUGGGAGACAUCUGGCGAGGAUGUGCGUCUCCUGCAGGCAGCGCAGCUCUGGGUGUCUCCUCCCAGUGUGCCCCAUGGUGCUGUGGGCUCACUGCCACUGUGCCCACAUGUGGGUUGGGGACAACGAGGGGACCUCAAGAGGUGCUGGAAAGCAUCAGGGCUGGGUCAUGGAAUCAUUUAGGUUGUAAAAAGACCACUGAGAUCACUUAGUCCAACCAUCAACCCAUCACAAUCAUGCCCACUAGCUGUGUCCCUUAGGUCCUGUGCCUGCAGGAUGCUCUGCACAGGGGAUGCUGUUGACCAACAUCUUCAUGGGGUAGGCUUGGGCUGAGUGCAGGAGCUGCCCUGGGUGCAGGCAGGUGGGUGUUCAGCCAGAUGUUGGCCCAGCAGUGCUGAGGUUUUGUGGAGCUCGGGGCAGCAGGGACCCUGCAGUCCCAGUGUGCCCAUAGGACAGGCUCAGCUUGUGUCUCUAUGAGCAGCGUGGUUGGCAGCAGCAGGCAGUUUUAUCACUGCUUUAUCUCUAUCCAGGCUUGAUCUGUGCAGAAAGCAGAGCCACGUGGCGGUAAUUGCAUUAGGAAAACAAACUAAUCUCUGAAGGGACAGAGAACAGCUGUUGGGCUAUUGGGGGAGAUGGAAGUGGCCUGCCAGCCUGCAGAGCUGGGGGAAUAAAGUGGGUUUUGGGCACAAGAUUGAUAGAAUGGGGGAGAGCCAGGCCUGACUCACUUCUGAGUUUCUUUGGUUGUGUUGAUUUGGGGCACGAAGCACCAGGAGGUGGACACCCUGAAAUGGGGACUGCCAAGCCCUGGCUGUGAGCACCUUUGGCCAAUGGAAAUGAGAAAGUUGCACCAGUCAGGAAGGCUGAAUCCAGAGCUGAGUGCCUGGCCAGGUCCCAAAGCAAACAUCACUGUUGUUUCUGGAUUAUGUAGUUUAACAGAAAAGAAAAUCCUAUCGCUAAUACUACAAGAUACACGCCUGUGUCCUGUAUUCACUCUGUCCUAUGAACUUUAUUAAGGCUCGUGUAGAGAGGGAUUAUAAGAAAGAAAUAAGGCCAGAAUUAUGCAGCUCCCAAAAGUUUUCCUAAGAAUAAACUUUUUGCUAUGUUCUUCCACAGCAGUUAAUUAUGGCUUCUAUUAAAUGCUGACAGGCAC